UACGAGUACCUCAGGUGAGGGAGAACGACUCAGCUGUAGAGAUACUGUAAUGUACGGCCUCUACGAGUACCUCAGGUGAGGGAGAACGACUCAGCUGUAGAGAUACUGUAAUGUACGGCCUCUACGAGUACCUCAGGUGAGGGAGAACGACUCAGCUGUAGAGAUACUGUAAUGUACGGCCUCUACGAGUACCUCAGGUGAGGGAGAACGACUCAGCUGUAGAGAUACUGUAAUGUACGGCCUCUACGAGUACCUCAGGUGAGGGAGAACGACUCAGCUGUAGAGAUACUGUAACAUAUAAUAUUCUCUUCUAACUCUGGGGUCACAUUGCUGG
Oncorhynchus keta (chum salmon) is the source of this 334-nucleotide long non-coding RNA. RefSeq lists it as uncharacterized. NCBI's taxonomy places the organism in Eukaryota, Metazoa, Chordata, Actinopteri, Salmoniformes, Salmonidae. The record is from RefSeq and is a predicted model, not a curated record. The transcript is spliced from 4 exons.